Molecule: ribosomal RNA, 402 nt
Filed under: bacterium
Lineage: Bacteria
Description: partial 16S ribosomal RNA
Rfam family: Bacterial small subunit ribosomal RNA
Source: RNAcentral
UGGGGAAUUUUGCACAAUGGGGGAAACCCUGAUGCAGCGACGCCGCGUGUUUUAGAAGGCCUUCGGGUUGUAAAAAUCUUUUCUAUGGGAAGAAAAUGACAGUACAAUAGGAAUAAGGACCGGCUAAUUCCGUGCCAGCAGCCGCGGUAAUACGUAAGGUCCGAGCGUUGUCCGGAAUCAUUGGGCGUAAAGGGUACGUAGGCGGGUAAGCAAGUUAGAAGUGAAAUCCUAUAGCUCAACUAUAGUAAGCUUUUAAAACUGCUCAUCUUGAGGUAUGGAAGGGAAAGUGGAAUUCCUAGUGUAGCGGUGAAAUGCGCAGAUAUUAGGAGGAAUACCGGUGGCGAAGGCGACUUUCUGGCCAUAACCUGACGCUGAGGUACGAAAGCGUGGGUAGCAAACAGG